CCUACGGGAGGCAGCAGUGAGGAAUAUUGGUCAAUGGACGCAAGUCUGAACCAGCCAUGCCGCGUGCAGGAAGACGGCUCUAUGAGUUGUAAACUGCUUUUGUACGAGGGUAAAUCCCGAUACGUGUAUCGUGUUGAUAGUAUCGUACGAAUAAGGAUCGGCUAACUCCGUGCCAGCAGCCGCGGUAAUACGGAGGGUUCAAGCGUUAUCCGGAUUUAUUGGGUUUAAAGGGUGCGUAGGCGGUUCGAUAAGUUAGAGGUGAAAUCCCGGGGCUCAACUCCGGCACUGCCUCUGAUACUGUCGGGCUAGAGUUUAGUUGCGGUAGGCGGAAUGUAUGGUGUAGCGGUGAAAUGCAUAGAGAUCAUACAGAACACCGAUUGCGAAGGCAGCUUACCAAACUACGACUGACGUUGAGGCACGAAAGCGUGGGGAGCAAACAGGAUUAGAUACCCCUGUAGUC
RNAcentral lists this ribosomal RNA (460 nucleotides) under uncultured bacterium. RNAcentral describes it as "partial 16S ribosomal RNA". It matches the Rfam family "Bacterial small subunit ribosomal RNA", at positions 338 to 795 of the family's 1533-position model. The record is from RNAcentral.